CCAAUAGCGUAUAUUAAAGUUGCUGCAGUUAAAAAGCUCGUAGUUGAAUUUCGGGACCAAUAUGUCGGUCGUGCCUCGGUACGUACUGGCAUCGUUGGUUUCUCCCUUCUGACGAACCUUGAUGUCAUUCAUUUGGUGUCGUGGGGAAUCAGGACUGUUACUUUGAAAAAAUUAGAGUGUUUAAAGCAGGCUUACGCUUGAAUACAUUAGCAUGGAAUAA
RNAcentral lists this ribosomal RNA (220 nucleotides) under uncultured Glomus. RNAcentral's name for it is "partial small subunit ribosomal RNA". It matches the Rfam family "Eukaryotic small subunit ribosomal RNA", at positions 591 to 817 of the family's 1831-position model. The record is from RNAcentral. Lineage: Eukaryota; Fungi; Glomeromycota; Glomeromycetes; Glomerales; Glomeraceae.